Molecule: long non-coding RNA, 248 nt
Organism: Syngnathus acus (greater pipefish)
Lineage: Eukaryota; Metazoa; Chordata; Actinopteri; Syngnathiformes; Syngnathidae
Exons: 3
Source: RefSeq, a predicted model, not a curated record
UUUUGACACGACGCAUAGAAGUUGGGAGGAAGGCGAGAAGUUUUGUCUCGCCCGGCGAGGCCACCUGGCUAGCAUACACUCUGAGCAAGAUGCCCGAUUCAUUACUGAUCACUCAUAUUACUAUUCUACUUGGAUGGGAGAAAAGAAGAAGGGCAACAACUACGGGUGGACUGACGGAACAGCUUCUGACUACGGAAAAGUUGUCUACAGCUCCAGUGGUGACUGUUCUAAUUUGUAUACCAGCGAAA